RNAcentral lists this long non-coding RNA (169 nucleotides) under Fukomys damarensis (Damara mole-rat). RNAcentral describes it as "lncRNA (ENSFDAG00000029243.1)". The record is from RNAcentral. Lineage: Eukaryota; Metazoa; Chordata; Mammalia; Rodentia; Bathyergidae.
GGACUCAGGAAGAGAAGCAGGGUUUAUGACAACCGUGAAGAGAAAAUGCUGCAUGAUCGAGUGUUAUAACUGCUGAUUUCUUUUUAAGGAAAAAAGAUCAGAUUAAUUUCCAGGAUAGAAGACAUUCAAAAUCAAGCGAAAAAUAAAGUAUUUGUUUGGAUUCAAAGAC